UACCACUGUGAGUGGUAAUGGCAUGAUAAUGACUAUUAUUCUUUAAAUUUUGCACUGUAUUACUGGGAAGAGUGCCAGGCUGCCUUUGCGUUAACGUGACCAAUAUUUGGCCAAACUGCUGCUCCAGUUGUUUGAUCGCGAUGGAGUGCGACUCAACUUUCUAAUUAAGCCCUGAUAUGUCUUCCUUAAUCUCCUUAAGGUAGCUUUUCUGACUUUCUUGGACUUUUACUAACAUCAACAACAUUGCCUCCAUUAUUGACUCUGUA
Molecule: long non-coding RNA, 266 nt
Filed under: Capsicum annuum
Lineage: Eukaryota; Viridiplantae; Streptophyta; Magnoliopsida; Solanales; Solanaceae
Description: long non-coding RNA (CANN_LNC005303)
Source: RNAcentral